GGGAGGGAGGGGCCGCCCUGGCCCUGGGUGGUGGCCCUGCGGCCACAGGGCUCGUCUCGGUGACUCUGACGGUCCCCGCGGCCCGGCGUGCCCGAUGCUGGGCUCGGCUGGGAAGGCGAGAGGGUGGGUCACCUGCGGGAGGAGGUAUGUCACCUUCCUCUCGGUGACAUACUCGGUUGUGGUGUGACAAAGCACCUGGGAUUUGUGCAACCACCUCCUCAGAGGCUGGUUCUGGUACAACUUCACGGCAGUCUUCGUUUUAAAACACACCCAAGUGUCGUGUGAGCUCGUAAGAGGCUUGGUACUCCAGCUAGCCCAGGAAGUGAGCUCUCUCCUUCCCCUAGAACACGCUUUUUUGCAGCUGAGGUGUGAGAAUUACUGGUCAAAAAGCAAGUACCAUUUUUGAAAUUUGUGUGUUUCUAGAUGAAAGGGGUCAAGGAAGGUUCUCCAAGAGAGGGGGAGUGAGGCCUGGUUUCCUCUAAUGCUGUUUCAGCCCCCUUCUGCAGUACCUUCCAGAGAUGUGCUGGGGAUUUGAUUUUCAUUUUGUGAGGUACUGGUAAGAUCUGGGCUUUGGAAAACACAAGCAAAAUAUGGAGAUCUAUAAUUUUGACAUUCCAUGGGAGAUGAAAUUAGUGCCAUUGCACACAGACCAGAAAUACAUAGGAAUGGAUUGGGUUGCAACUUGGCCUCCACAGGAUGAAAGAAGCAACUGAUCAUGCCAUUCACUGAAGGGAGUCUGCUGUGAUUUCUGAUUUGCAGAACAAAGUAAGACAUAUGAUCUGUCUCGGCAGAUAAAAAAAACUUUGAGUUCACUUCUAAAAUUUAUUUGAUUCUGAAAGCUGUAAGUGUUGUUGCUUUCAUGGUGGCUUUUUUUCAUUCAGUAUCUUGUCACUUUCUCUGUGUACAUUUUACGUUUGUAAAUGAGAGCAUUUCAUCGCAGUCUUUGAGAAGAUGAGUUAUCAGCAUGUGCUGCAGCGAGUCAGUUUCAGGUCAAGCAGCGGUAGGAGGCAGCAAUUCUUGCAGCGGCCAUAAAUCAGAUUUGUGACGGUGCGGCUCCAUCUAGUGAUUCUUCUCUACAACUACAAGGGAGAGGAACUGCGGCUUCCUCUGUUCAGUGAAACACAGGAAGCGUGCAAGCUUCCAGUGUUAGAUUGACCUCUGGACUCGAUUCGAUGCCCCAUUUGGACAUCUCUAGGAGCGUCAGGUUUCUGAAAGCUCCAAGAGAACUGGUGAACUGAAUUGCUAACACACUUAAAUGCGUUUCUGAAAUUCCUCUCACCCCCAAGCUGUUAAUCAGUAAUAGCUUAACUUUGAUGGCAGCGUCGGGUGUUUUACUGUAUCGCUGUACUGGACAUUAUGUUGUUUCCUAUAGAUAAAGAAGCUGGUCUUCAGAUAUCUAAACCCCCACUUUCACAGUGGGGUCAAAAGAGUUAAAAAUCUUCCAGCUGGAUAGA
This is a non-coding RNA of Cyanistes caeruleus (blue tit), 1454 nucleotides long. Lineage: Eukaryota; Metazoa; Chordata; Aves; Passeriformes; Paridae. The record is from RefSeq and is a predicted model, not a curated record.